RNAcentral lists this transfer RNA (66 nucleotides) under Suillia bicolor. RNAcentral describes it as "tRNA-Pro". The record is from RNAcentral. Lineage: Eukaryota; Metazoa; Arthropoda; Insecta; Diptera; Heleomyzidae.
CAAAAGGUAGUUUAAAUAAAAUUCUAAUUUUGGGGAUUAGAGAUAAAGAAUUUUCUUUUCUUUUGA